UACUGUAUCUGCCCCGCACGCACACACACACACAUAUAUAUAUAUAACACCCCUCUUACUCAGGAGCUACCACCCCCGUCAGCUGUUGUUGUUUUUUUUCGUUGUUGCCAGAAUCUUCAUUGCUCUUGUCGCUCUCUUCAUCACAUAGACCUGCGCAAAAGACGUACUGGUCUGGCGGUCAGCGCCUACACACGCGUCCCACGCUCAGUUGCUCAGUUUAUCUUUACGCGGUGCUGCGUUCACUACCCCUGUCUCUCUCCGUUUGUGUGCGUACGCGCGCGUGGCGUUUUUUUUUUCUUUCGUGAUUGUUCAAGAGAGGCGGGUGUGUGUCGUAGUGGUGGUGGUGGGUAAUGAUGAGAGGCUGCCUCCGUGCAUCUCUCCCUCCCUCCUACUCCGUGAUACAUCUCCGACUACUUCUUCUCCCCAGCCCCUUGUACGCAGACGCGCUCCUGCACGCGCGAUAACCGACGUCUUAGUGCACCCUCAAGCACACACUCACAGACGCACACAUCUUUCUCCACUGCGUCACCGAUCCUCUCACCGUAAGUGAGUCCGCUGGGCUCGCCCCACCUUACACACACACACACACGACUCUCCCUCUGUAUUCUCGAUGGGCAAGAAGGACCAGGCCGCCGCGGCGGAGAACAUUAAGGUGCUCGUCCGAUGCCGUCCUUUCAGCGAGAAGGAAAAUGCGAUGGGUCACAAGAGCUGCGUCGACCUUGACAUGGUGCAGAACACCGUGACCGUGAAGAGCAUCAUUGGCGAGCCCGAUCGCUGGACCUUUGACGCGGUGAUCAACAACAGCUUCUCCCAGGAGGACAUCUUCACCCAGUUCAUUAUGCCACUGACGGAGUCCGUGCUCGGCGGCUUCAACGCAACAGUAUUCGCCUACGGCCAGUCCGGCUCCGGUAAGACACACACAAUGACGGGUGUGAUGGGAAACAGCACGCUGGAGGGUGUGAUCCCCCGGUGCGUCAAGCACAUUUUCGACUCUGUACAGAAGAUGAGAGACGAGGCGCCGAGCACGACCGUCAGCAUGUACGUGUCCUUCAUGGAGCUGUACAAUGGUAAGGUGCGCGACCUGCUAGCGAAGCAGCAGGUGUCACUGGAUAUCCGCGAAAACAAGGAUCACACCUUUUUUGUGAAAGGCGCCGUUGUGGCGCAGGUCAAGUUCCCUGAGGAUGUUAUCCGGCACCUGGAGGAGGGCACAGACCGUCGCCGCGUCGCGUCCACGGAGCUGAACGCCGAUAGCAGCCGCUCGCACUCCGUUUUCUCGCUCAUUCUGGAGUGCACCGAGACCCUCGAAGACGGCAGCACCCGCGCCGUGUCGAGCAAGCUGAACCUGGUGGAUCUUGCCGGCUCGGAGCGCCAGGGCAAGACUGGCGCCUCGGGUGACACGCUGAAAGAGGGGUGCAACAUCAACCUCUCGCUGAGCGCGCUCGGCACCGUCAUCGACACCAUUGUCAAGGGCGGCGCCCACGUGCCGUUCCGCAGCAGCCCUCUGACGAUGCUGCUGAAGGACUCGCUUGGUGGAAACAGCAAGACCGUCAUGUUUGCGAAUAUCAACCCCAGCGAGCGCAACAUGUCGGAGACGGUGUCGACGCUGCGCUUUGCGGACCGCGCCAAGCAGAUCAAGAACAAGCCGGUUGUGAACAUGGACUCGAAGGAUCAGAAGAUCGCAGAACUGACGGAAAUAGUGAAGGAGCUGCGCGAGAAACUGGCCAAGUACGAGAACGAGGGCACGGCGGGGCUGGAGGAGGAGGUGGUGCAGCUACAAGAGAAGAUAGGUCAACUGGAGGUGCAGCUGGACAACGCCACAAAGAGCCGCGAAGCGGAUUUGGUCGACUACGAGACGGCGAAGGCCACUCUUGCCGCGGAGCGGCAGACCCUUAACACCCGCCUCCUCUCCAUGGAGGACGAGAUUAGCCAGCUGCAGAAUCAACUGCAGAUCUCGGAGAGCAGCGGGGCGGCAAUGCAGUCUCAGCUGAACGAAGUGUGGACGCUGUGCUACAACUACUUCCUGACGCCGACAGAGAAGGCGGCGCAGACGCUGGAGCAGCUGCAGGUCACUCGGACAUUCGAGGAGAUACUGCGAAACGCCAAGAAGAAGGCGGAAGGAGGCGGUGAGUCGUCCCUGCAGGAGAAGAUCCAGUCGCUGACGGCGGACCUCAAGGCGUCCCAGGCAGAGCACAUGGCAACCAAGAAGGAGCUCAAGACCAGCAAGGCGCAGCUGGAGCGGCACCUGGCGGAGGUGAAGGAGGAGCUGGCCGAGUGGAAGAGAGCCUCGGUCGCGCCCGGCAGUAGCAUCGGCGAUGGUCAAGUUGCGGUGGCAAUGGGGCAGCAGCAGGACUACACAAUGCAGGAGGAGAAGCUGCUGGCAGCGAUUAAGCUCGACGACAACGGCGCCGCAGCGAUCAAGCUUUUACGCGAGGAAAACGAGAAGCUGCGACGCCAGCUGAUGGCGGCAGCGUCCGCUCUGCCUCGCUCGACCGCGGCGGUGGCUGCGCCCCAGCAAAAGUCGGCCUCCAUCUCAAAGAACGCGGCGGCGGACUCAGCGGUGCCGCUGGAGCUGCAGUCGUCCACAAGUGCGGCGGCUCAGAACGCCGCAGCGAUUAGCAGUCUUCAGGCGGAGCUUGAGGAGGCGAAGGCCAAGGUGGAGCACGUGACUGCUUCUCGCGAGUCUCUCUACGCGGAGCUGGAGGCUCAACGCACGGAGCUCGCCAAGUUGGAGUCCACCGUGGCGCAGCACGACCGACAGCUCGCCAAAGUGCAGCAGGAGUACGAGGCGAAGCUGGCAGCUGCCACCCACUCAGAGGACGAGGUGACGCGGCUGGAAACCCGCCUGCGCGAGCGCUCUGACCAACUAGAGCAGGUGCGCGCAUUGCUGGAGAAGCAGAAAGCCAUCAUCAUAAAGAACAACGAGAAGGCAGAGUAUUUCCAGAUCUCUGUGCGGGAAAAGACGGAGGCCCUCGUGGCACUGGAACAGCAGUUCCGCGAGCAGCUGGAGAACAAGGAUGCGCAGAUGCAGCAGCUCAUCAAUAAGCGCGUCGCCGAGUUUUCUGAGCAGCGAAGCGCUGAACUGAAUGAAAAGUCGCUCCGUCAGAAGAAGCUAAAGAAGAAGGUCCAUAAGCUGCAGGAGGAGCUGAACAAGUGGGAAGAGCGGUUCGACACGAAGGUGUGCGAGUGCGAGGACCUCCGCAAAGCUCUGGAGGAGAAGAAGGUGGAGCAGAUGCGCCUGCUGCGCCGCAUCGAGCUCUCCGAUGACGAGGCUGAGGCCUUGGAGCAGAAGGAGCAAAUCCAGAACGCCCUCGAGCGCGCAAAGCAGGAGCGCCGUCGCAAGGACGAUCUCUUCGCCAUGGGUGAGGUGCGCAGCGCCAAGUCCGUUGUGAGGCGUAGCACGACAGAUCCCUCAGACGACGCCGAGUGCUCGUAGCAAGACACGAACGCAUACGUGCAUUCAUACGCAGUCGUCGCCCUUCCUCUCCGCCCCUCCCCUCUCUUUGCCGAAGAUCUCUGCAUCUCCCGCUGCAUCCGCAAAUGAUGUUCUCUACUUUUUGUGUGUCCGCGUGUGCUUAUGUGCGUGUGUGUGUCCGCGUGUGUUUAUGUGCGUGUGUGUGUCCUUCCGCUUUGACCCUCCCCGCGUAAUAUCGCUGCCCCUUCUCCAACGUCCCUUCCUGAUCCGUUGAUCAAACCUUUUCCCUUUUCCUUCGUGCGCGUAUGUGUAGUACCCCCACCCCCACCCACCCACACACACACUCACUCACUGACUCACUCACACACCACCACCACGACUCCUCCCCUUUCUCAUUAUGUUUCAAAUCUCUGCACAAACGCUUCUGCUUGUCCUGCUCCUUCUCUCGUCUCCAGCACGGCUUCAUGCCCAUGUCGGUGGCAUGCGCGUGCUCGCGCGUGCGCCAAGGUGUUCUCCUCCGCGGCCCUCGAGCGCGAAGGCCUCGGUACUUUGUCCGUCCUCACUUCCCGCCCCCCCUCCUCCUCCUCCUCCUCCUCACCUUUUCGUCUUAGUAUGCAUCGCUUUCUCAUGUACACAGAGAUCCUCGUACGCAAACACACACCGCUGUGCUGCGCCGCCGGGUGGGAGGAAGGGAGGAAAAGGGGCAUGUGAUGUAUUUCUCGCGUUGUCUGUGAACGAUGGUGGAGGACGGCAUCCUUUUUACUUAACUUUGGGCCCCUUCCACCAACGCACCAAGCCACGCGCCAUUCAAAGAAAGCGAUACCAUAUGUAUAUAUACAUGCAUAUAUAUAACGUCUUCUCCGGCUGCCAUGCUCCUCCGUAACUCUUCCCCGUUCUUUUUGUUCGGUUUCGAUCCUGUUCUCUUACGUCCGAUGAGAGGUCUGUGGGGGAGGGGGAAAGGGGGGGGGCUCGAGUGGCCGCGAGGAGGGGAGACACGCGCCAGGAGACUUCACACUUGAGAAAAAAGCAUAAGAAACUUUACAAGAAAGCUUCCCCUCUGUCUCUCUUUCCAUGCAGCCUUAUCUUCUUGUUGAUCUGCUCCUUCGUUUCUUAUUCUGCUGGAACCGCCGGUGAGGGUCAGGGGGGAACGAUUGUGCAACCGACGCACACACGCACACGCACACUCGCCGAUACGCAUAGUCCUCUGUGACUCUCUCUCGCUUUACUUUCUUACAGCUCGUUGUGAGUCGAUCUACGUUGUAUCUGUGCGUGAGCGAAAGAAAAGAAGGGGAUGGUGUAGGACACUGAGGUCUGAUCCCUUCUUAGUUUGUUUGGUCUUUGUGGAUGUGGCGCGCUUGUUUUACAUCAGGGCCUCCCUCUCCUCUGCCGUGCCUGUGGGUGUGUAUGAUGGAUGUACCUCAACCCCGAGCGGGUCUCUUCGUUUCUCUCCCCUCCCUUCUGUGCAUAAGUCUCUUACCUCCACCACCGCCAGCGACAGCAGCCGCCCCUCUGCCUCCACGCCCCAGAGUUUUUUCUCUCUUGUGUUUUCCCUGUUUUCCGAUUUUCGCUUUUUUCACCAUGUAUCAUUCUGCCUGUCUGUCUGUGUGCUAGUUAUUCCCUCCUGCCCCUUCCCCUGUCUCCUCCCUUACUCCCUCUUCUACGCUGGCGUCUCCCCUCAUGUUGCCAGCUGCUACGACCGCCACCACCCGACACCCGCACGCCCUUCGUGCUGUGUGAAGGUAGAACUGAAUGCCUUCCCCCCUUCCCAGCACCAUCUUGUUUAUGGGAUGUAUCGCGUGUGGUGGCGGGGUCGGUAAACCGCUUGCAGGGAUUCAAAUCGCCUCAGCACGGUACGCGCACAGAGGGGGAGAGAAAGCGUGGAACGAGGAAACGAGGGAGCGUGACUGAUGUGAAAUGUCGUGGAGUGUGCAGACCUCUGAUUGUUCAGCGGAGUUGCGUGCGGAACGACAAAAAAAAAUUAUGGUUGGUGCCGUUGUUGUUCUUGAACUUUUUUUUCUUUUUCACCCCCUGGCGAAGAAAAUGAAGAGCGAAAGGGAUGCGCAGGAGAAGAGCACCAAAGGUAGAGACGGGUAGAGGGGCAAGAAAUGUAAUAUGUUGUCAACGGAUGGCACACACACACAUCACCGCCUCUCCCCAUCUCUGCACCUCUUUGUCUCUCUCCUGUCUCCUCUCUCCCCCACCUUCGCCGCACACCGUCAUUUCACCUCCCGUGUUUUCGUGUCGUCCUCGAUGUUUGGUUGUUGCUGUCGCGAUGGUUGCUCUUCGUCUCUUGUGGUUUUGUGCUUGAUUUCCCCCGUGCACACCCGUCUCCCUCUCCCGCGCCAUUAUUUCCUUUCAUAUGUAUAAAGUGUAUGUGUAUAUCGUUUUUUUUUUCGGGGGAUGAAUGGGGGUGGGCAGUGGAGCGAGAAGGAUCGACGCUCUCGUUGCUGUUGCUCGUUGCUGACUUCUCUUUUCGCGCUCCUGUUUCUUCUCUCUCCCUUGUAUAUGUAAUCUGUUUGUCUGCAUCUGCACGUGAGAGUCUGUGUCUGUGUGUGUGUGUGUGUUGGCGCGCCUUCUUCGCUGUGGAUGGAGAAUGCUGCUGCUGUCCCGCCCACCGCAUCCGCCUCGCUGCUGUGAAUUUUGUAAUGCUGCUUUGUGCUUUUCUUUGUUGUGCCUUUGCGCGGGCAUGCGUGGGUGGGUGAGUGGGCGGCGAGUGGAAUGAGUGGACGAAAGGUGACGUUGCCGUCACCACCAACACCACCACGACCACCACCUCCUGUCGCAUCCUCGCUGCCUUCACGUCUUUCAUACAUGUUUGCUCUAUUAUUUUGAUUUCGUGUCUCCUCUUUCUCUCCUCAAUUCCUGGACAGGAGGGAAGGGGAGAAGUCGAGGAGGGAGGGAGGACGAGGACGAUACAAAGGACGCAUGUGUGCACACCAUUCUCUCUCUUGCCUUGUAUGUGCCUGUGUGCUCAUGCAUUGUCCACUGAUGUGCUGCAUCGCGGCAACGUCGCCGAAUCUAAAAAAAAAAGAACAUGUGCAGAAAAGGUAAGAAGGGAAACGAUGAGACUUCCUCAUGAUGGUGUGGUAUGGUCGGAAGACGCGGCCGCAGCGGCCGCGCUCACGUAUUCGCCGAGAAAAAGAUGGCGUGCAAGGUGAGCCGAGACAAUUUGUGAGAAAGCACAGGAUUGGUAGCGGCUGGACUCCACGAGAUGCAAGAAAAAAAAACGGAGGGCGCGCCUACCCUCACCCCGAUCUCGUGCCCGUGCUCCUCCUCUCGCUCUUACUCUCUGCACUUGUUUCUCACGCCAUCGUUGCACGUGACUGCUGAUGGCGGAAAAAAGUGGCGCUUACAACGCUGCCGUCAAAGGGGUAACUCCUCCUUCCCUCUCUCUCUCUCUGCAGCUUGCGUCCAGCCGCUCAGUCCCUCUGCAAUGCCUUCACAAACAAACACACACAUACACACGUCAGGGGAAGGGAAGGUCACGCAGUCAUACACGCUUGUGUGUGUGUGUGUGUGUGUGUGUGUGGUACCACAGCUGCUGUCUCAUCAUCAUCGCUCCCGCUUUCACAUUCUUCCUCUCUCUUUCUCCGCUCCGACCCUUUGUGCUUCUUCGUGGAG
RNAcentral lists this unclassified non-coding RNA (7033 nucleotides) under Leishmania donovani. Its description in RNAcentral is "gene:LdHU3.17.1300(CDS-product:OSM3-like_kinesin_ putative)". Lineage: Eukaryota; Euglenozoa; Kinetoplastea; Trypanosomatida; Trypanosomatidae. The record is from RNAcentral.